RNA transcript from Lagenorhynchus albirostris (white-beaked dolphin), 4118 nucleotides. It is a transcript of the gene named cytochrome c oxidase assembly protein COX18, mitochondrial, with no coding region annotated. The record is from RefSeq and is a predicted model, not a curated record. The transcript is spliced from 7 exons. NCBI's taxonomy places the organism in Eukaryota, Metazoa, Chordata, Mammalia, Artiodactyla, Delphinidae.
CGUACGCGUGUUGGGUACAGUCGUGUGCAGAGAUGCUGUGCCGGUUGAGCGUUAGGUGGCUGCAGCCGCGGCCUGCCCUGCAGCUCCGGGGCUUGGGCCCACCGGUCGUACCGGCCCCCACCGGCGGCGCCAAGCCCUCCGCUCUGCCAUUGUGGGCGGUGGCAUCAGUCUCUGCAGUUGGCCCGAGCGGCGCGGGUGGCUGGUAUGAAGCCCUGGCUACGUCGGCGCCGGUGCAGGGCGCCGAGGACGUACUGCUCUUUGCGCACACCGCCUCGGGCCUGCCCUGGUGGGGCAGCAUUCUUCUCACCACCGUGGCCCUGCGCGGCGCUAUCACGCUGCCCCUGGCCGCCUACCAGCACUACAUCUUGGCCAAGGUGGAAAAUUUGCAGCCAGAAAUAAAAAGCAUUGCAAGGCACCUUAACCAAGACGUUGCAGUUCGUGCAAAUCAGUUGCGGUGGUCCAAAAGAGCUGCCAGGCUCACUUAUCUAAAGACUAUGCGGAGGCUUGUUUCAGAGCUGUAUGUUCGGGAUAACUGCCACCCUUUCAAAGCCACUGUGUUGGUCUGGAUUCAGCUUCCAAUGUGGAUAUUCAUGUCUGUUGCUCUCCGGAAUUUUAGCACAGGGGCAACACAUUCAGAAGGUUUUUCUGUUCAGGAGCAGUUAGCUACUGGUGGGGUCUUAUGGUUUCCUGACCUCACUGCCCUGGAUUCCACUUGGAUUCUGCCUGUCUCCAUUGGUGUCAUCAACUUAUUAAUAGUGGAGAUUUUUGCUCUGCAAAAAGUUGGAAUGUCUCGUUUCCAGACAUAUAUAACGUACUUUGUUCGUGCAUUAUCGGUGUUGAUGAUUCCAAUUGCAGCGACAGUACCUUCACUCCUGCUGCUGCUGGAACCGCCACAGCCACCUUGGUUUUAUCGUUUGACGAAGUAUUGGCCUCCACCACCAUAGAGGCGAGAACUUUUGCCUCCAAAGUUUCCUCCUUUCAUCAGUCCAGAAUUUGAAGAUUGACUGUUGUAAAUGCCAAAAUCAUUGUAGCUUCUGCCACCUCUGAAAUUGCUUCCGUCGUUACCAAAUCCAUUAUAGCCAUCCCCACUGCCACCAUAGCCACCACCACCAUGGCUUCCACCAAAGGCAUCUCGACCACUGAAGUUUCCUCCACCACCAAAGUUGUCAUUCCCACCAAAACCACCGCCACGACCACCACCAAAGUUUCCAGAACCACUUCGACCUCUUUGGCUGGAUGAAGCACUAGCCAUCUCUUGCUGAGAUAGGGCUUUCCUUACUUCACAGUUGUGGCCAUUCACAGUGUGGUGUUUCUGAAUGACAGUCUUGUCUGUGGGGUCAUGGUCACCAAAGGUUAUGAAAAGUAAAGUCUCUCUUGUUGCCGCUGCCUUGGUUAGUCAUGGUUUCAAUCACUUCAGUUUUCCCAUACUGUUCAGAAUAAUCUCUUAGGUGAUGUUCUUCAGUGUCUUCUUUAAUGCCACCAACAAAAAUCUUUUUCACAGUUAAGUGGGCACCAGGUCUUUGAGAAUCUUCUCUUGAGACGGCCCUCUUUGGUUCCCCAACUCUCCCAUCCACCUUGUGUGGCCUUGCCUUCAUGGCCGCAUCCACCUCCUCCACAGUGGCAUACGUGACAAACCCGAAGCCUCUGGAGCGCUUGGUGUUUGGAUCCCUCGUUACCACACAGUCUGUGAGCGUUCCCCUUUGUUGAAAAUGGCUCCCCAGACUCUAAUCGGUUGUUUCAAAGCUCAAAGCUCAAACCUCCGAUGAAGAGCUUCUGCAGAUGUUCGGGCUCUUUGGGAGACUCCGACUUACACAUGAUGGCAGUAGAUGGGGGAGACUUCAAUGACGCUUACUUGGCGGUGUCCAUGGGCUCAAUUAAAUGUUAAAUGUUUUUAAGCUGUCACUUAGACAUAGUACCAUCAUUAAUCCUGUGUAAAAUAAGUUUCCUUGUUUCUAAAAUAGACACCAUAAUGUCUGUGAGAAUUAGUGAAAUGACAAGUGUCUAUUAUAGUACUUUUCAUGUAAUAAUAAUAUUAUUAUAAAAUACUCUGUAAAAACAGAACAAUACAAACUCACUACAUUUCUAAGGAGAAAUAAUACCUGUUAUAACUGAGGAAACCCCCAGAUCAAGUGAAAUAGGAGCAGUAAAGUUGUAGUGAGAGGUUGGAUUCAAAUCGAUUGUUCUCUACUGGUUAUGCUCCAGCCUCAUGGGCCUUUCACAGAACUUGCUGCUGCGUUCUCCUAGAUUUCGCCAACUUUGUCGAAUACCGUUGACCAAGUCAGAUUCAGACACUCCUUAUAAAGACCUCUUUGCUGCCUUUUACGCCAAGUUCAUUUCAAGAAAAUGACAUACUUUCUAGUAAUUUUGAAACAAUUACAAGUUUCACUGUUAAUGUAUUUAGAAGAUUUAGAAAUUCAGAUAUGGUUUAAUUUGCUUUUUAAAAUCAUGAGCUCUGUGAAGUACUGUGGAUUAAGAUAUAAUCCAGAUAUAUUUGAUAGUACUUAAAAUCUUUUAAGUGCUAAAAACGUAGUAUGUUCAGUUAUAUAAAAGUGGGAUCAAAGUGUCGGGCCCUGUUUAUAAAAUUACAACUUGCGAGAGGUGCUAGAACUUUGGAGAACAGGACUAGAGAAGUUUGAUAAAAUAAAAGAAUCCAGUGAAGUGAUUUUUAAAAUUUUGGGGGUGUGGAGGAUCAUAGACCCGGUUGAUCAUUUAAUAAAGCCAUGGUUUUCUCUUCAGAAAAGUCCUGGAACUCACAACAUGGAGGCCUUUAUUGACCCCCCUUAUGGUAAUUCCUGGUUAAUAAGUAUUUUUCUAAUGGAACAUACAUUGAUGAUGAGUUAAUGUGUGAUUUUAAAAUGAAAAGAACUUGAGAUACAUGCAGUGGAGUAGUCCACGCAUGUAAGAAAGUACCUAAUAGGGUAGGUAGUGUUGCUUCUCAACCUUGCUCUGAAGGAAUACAAAAAUUGUACAUUUCCUUUCUCUGUAAUUUAAGGAGUCUAGAAUACAGAGCAUAGAACUAAGUACUGCUAGAGCCCAAAGUAGAAAAUCUUAAGCUAAUCAUAUAGAAUAUGAAGGAACCCAAUAUCUCUGAUAAUCCUUUAAGAAAGUGAAAAACUGGUACUAGGGUCAAGGUUAUGCUAAUUGGGAGACUCCUUUAGACCUGUACACCUUGGUAUGAUAAUGCAUAACAUUAAAUUGGUCUGAGGAUCUUAAUAUUACAAAAUUCAUAAUUUCAUAGCUUAGAAAAAAGGAUCAAAGUAAAUUUUAAAAGCUCAAAAGAUCAGGAUAGUAUUUAGCAAGUUUUAAAAAUAAUGACUGAAUACAUGAAGUUACAUUAGUUACACUAUUACUGGAAAUUAAAUAGUAGGUGAAGAAUCAUCUCAUUCAGCCAGAGAGCAUGCAUAUGAACAUUGUGUAUUCAGUCAUUAGAGAAUAUAGGUAGAUCACAUAAUUGUGAAGUAAGCUUGUGGUGCAGAAUUCUGGAGACAGAGCUGUUUGAGUCUUUCCUGUCAUCUCAAAGUAUAGUAGACCCUUCUGUCUUCCUAGCCCCAAAGCCACAACCAUUAAGAGCUUCAAACUGUCAGCAGCUAGAAUCCCAACAAACAGCUGAAACAGACUUCAUUAGAUACGGACUAACAUAGCCACAGAUAGGGAAUGAUUCUGUGACUCUUGAACAUAUUAACUUGACUAUAGUCGUUUGUGGAAUACAGUUUCAAAGUAAAAGGGACUAUUAGAAAACUUUGAACUUUAUUUGGUAAUUGUGUUGCUCUUGUUAAUAUUGCAUUGCUGUUUUGGAACUCUUAUUGUCAGGUAAAAUAUAUAAUGAUGUUUACUGGUAUAUUUGUUUUCUGUGGAUGCUGUUAACAAAAUCUUUAUGCUGCUUAUGCACCAGGAGGAAGAUGCUAUUGAAUGUAUUUGAUAUUAUAAGAUAUAUCUCUUUCAAAUUUUUCUUUUAAGAGAUAGAUUUAGGGAUUGCCCCUGAGGUCCUACAAAAGAGGGUCCUCCCCACAGUUCUCCACCAGUAUACUCAGAAAGCCUAACCUUCAUAUCUGUUUCACCUAAGACCUUCCACAAUCUCAGUUAAGAACUGAUGAAAUAAAAUUCAUGUUUUACGGCAA